RNAcentral lists this ribosomal RNA (851 nucleotides) under uncultured Janthinobacterium sp. Its description in RNAcentral is "bacterial SSU rRNA". It matches the Rfam family "Bacterial small subunit ribosomal RNA", at positions 9 to 856 of the family's 1533-position model. Lineage: Bacteria; Pseudomonadati; Pseudomonadota; Betaproteobacteria; Burkholderiales; Oxalobacteraceae. The record is from RNAcentral.
GAGUUUGAUCAUGGCUCAGAUUGAACGCUGGCGGCAUGCCUUACACAUGCAAGUCGAACGGCAGCACGGAGCUUGCUCUGGUAGCGAGUGGCGAACGGGUGAGUAAUAUAUCGGAACGUACCCUAGAGUGGGGGAUAACGUAGCGAAAGUUACGCUAAUACCGCAUACGAUCUAAGGAUGAAAGUGGGGGAUCGCAAGACCUCAUGCUCGUGGAGCGGCCGAUAUCUGAUUAGCUAGUUGGUAGGGUAAAAGCCUACCAAGGCAUCGAUCAGUAGCUGGUCUGAGAGGACGACCAGCCACACUGGAACUGAGACACGGUCCAGACUCCUACGGGAGGCAGCAGUGGGGAAUUUUGGACAAUGGGCGAAAGCCUGAUCCAGCAAUGCCGCGUGAGUGAAGAAGGCCUUCGGGUUGUAAAGCUCUUUUGUCAGGGAAGAAACGGUGAGAGCUAAUAUCUUUUGCUAAUGACGGUACCUGAAGAAUAAGCACCGGCUAACUACGUGCCAGCAGCCGCGGUAAUAUGUAGGGUGCAAGCGUUAAUCGGAAUUACUGGGCGUAAAGCGUGCGCAGGCGGUUUUGUAAGUCUGAUGUGAAAUCCCCGGGCUCAACCUGGGAAUUGCAUUGGAGACUGCAAGGCUAGAAUCUGGCAGAGGGGGGUAGAAUUCCACGUGUAGCAGUGAAAUGCGUAGAUAUGUGGAGGAACACCGAUGGCGAAGGCAGCCCCCUGGGUCAAGAUUGACGCUCAUGCACGAAAGCGUGGGGAGCAAACAGGAUUAGAUACCCUGGUAGUCCACGCCCUAAACGAUGUCUACUAGUUGUCGGGUCUUAAUUGACUUGGUAACGCAGCUAAC